This is a long non-coding RNA of Gasterosteus aculeatus aculeatus (three-spined stickleback), 3094 nucleotides long. The record is from Ensembl. Lineage: Eukaryota; Metazoa; Chordata; Actinopteri; Perciformes; Gasterosteidae.
AUCAUAGAGUAGCACCUCUCAUAUGCAUGUGAAGCAGAGGCUCAGCGGGGGGCUCGGGGGCGAUGAUGGCCGAUGUGUCUCAGCAGGAAGAGACACGUCCUCACAGAGAGCUGUCUUCUGUCCCCUGUUUCAAACAACCUCCUUUUGAAGGACCAUCAAUAGUUCUAACUUUUUGCAAAACACGUCUUUAUAUAUAUAUAUAUAACAUUCUGUGGGUACUUUUUAAUAAGUACUUGUAUUAUUGAAUGAUUAAAACAUCUACUGCCUCUGCAUGUCCUCGUUAUACAUUUUAUUGAUUGUACUUAGAAAGGAAUUUUACCUCAGGAGACACUUUAAGUACUUCACAAGUUUCACAGAAAUACCACAGAAUACCUGCUACUUACUACACCGUGUUGACUGCAUUAUUACGGAAGUCGGUAAAUAUCAAGCCUCUGUUUUUAUUUCAAGCAGAUUUCAAAUAUGCUUUUACUUUUAGUCUCAUGCAGCUGACAAUAACCUUUUAUUGUGAAAACAGGAAGCAAUAACAACAAGGCUGCGUUAACACAAUCCAUUAAGUACAAACUAAACAGACGUCUUUGGUGUCAACCACAAACUUCUUGUCUUCUGCGGCUCUCCGGACGUUCUAACACCAACGAGGAAGAGAAGCAAACACCGGGGGGGGGGUAAACAAACAGUGGCGAGGAGGGAGGCGUUUAGCGGCUAAUUGUCUCCACUGGGGAGCUGUUAUGGUCUCAGGUAAAGCCUGUAAAGUCCCCGGGCCUGAGGGGUUAGAGGGGGGGGGGGGAUGUGCUGUUACAGGAAGAGCCCAAGGGCACAGAGAAGGACUCAAACCACACACACACCUACACACACACACACACACACACACACUCAAGUUUUAGAAACAUCCGCAGACACUGAUGCAGAAAUGAGAAGAAAUGCAUGAGUGUCGCUGAGUCACACACACACACACACACCUGGAGACAAAGGCAGUGUCCAUCAUCAACACACACACACACACACACACACAUAGACUCACCUGGGCAGCCCCCCCUUGACACCUGUCAACACUUUAGGUGAGGAAUAAACAUCCUCUGAGCUCGUCCCGCAGAUCAAAGAGAGACAGUGACAGGAUGACAGAUCUCAGAUCAGCUUCCAGACCAGAGCAAACGAUCACAGCGAUCAAUAAUGACCAGCGGUGGUGGAAGUAUUCAGGUAAGAGUGCUAUUGGUACAGAGUAAAAACAUUUUAAAAAGUAAAAGUACUGCCACUCCACAGUAAUAAUACGUGCUAAUAAUACAAUAAGUACUACACAGCGUUACAGAUGUUUUUGUCGAUAGAAUUAUAGGUUAGUUUCUGACGAACCUUUUACUUUGACAUGACAAAUAGGAAGUAAAGUGGGAUUAUUGCAAAAUUUAAACAACCACAAUGGAUUGUGGGUAAAUCCAGCUGUGCCAUAGAACAAACAGCUGGAGAGGAACAGGUUUAAGGUCAAAGAGACUGAUGACUGAGGAUAAGUCCUGAUUUCUAAACGUAAUUAGAUUUACUAACUUUGUUUUCAUUUCCUGUCACCUUUUCUUUUUCUCCUCUUGCUCGGUUUUGAACCCGAUCACCUCUUGCUCGUUAAACCUCCUCGUUUCACUGCUCCAUGAGUACAAGGCGUUCCCGUCUGUCAUCUUCACUUCCUGCCUGCAGCUGUCUGACAACUCUGCCCACCCUCGACAUUAAACCGGGGGGGGGGGGCUCACGGCUACUUAGGUGGUAAUAUAUCGUCCUGGAUGCCACAGGUGUUGUCCUAAAGUGGUCUGGAUCAGAUAAGAACCUCCCCCCUUGUACACUCUAAAAAUCCAAAGAGCCUCAGGUGUGACGGCCGUCACGGAUUACUCUAUGACGAAACUAGCGUCGAUGCUAAUAGCGGCUGUUACCAUGUGUAUGGGUGGAAGAGGCGGGCAGGUCAAAGGUCAACAUGGGGUAAAUUCACAUCCGGCUGAAAGUGAUAUGGUUUUUAAUGAUGAAAACAUUCACUAACUCGAAGAUCCUUUCAUAUGUCUCAAAGUUGCCGAAUGCUUGGGGGCAAAAUUACAUUAUCAGCGCAGUAGUCCUUCGUUCGCCAAGGCGACGCUGUCGACCAGUCACACGCGUGUGAGCCAACGUUCCUGUUUAGUUUGUAACGUUUCUACUGCCAAUGUUUAAUGUUGCACCGAUUGCAUUUAAACAAAUGCAAAAGGACCUACACAUGUUCCCUGAUGAACUCCGCUGGAACAAACAUGCAAACUGUGUUUUAGUUCAAAGAAAACAGACCUUCUGUAAAACUCCAAAACAAUAUCUGGCUUUGGGGGCAUUUUUAAAAAUAUGACUCAAAUCACAUGCGUCAGCUGAUGUUCCUGCUAAAGCAAAAAGAGCAAAUGUCUUUUGACUACAACGCCAUCUCCUCAGUGAAUCUUUCAUCUGACGUGUUUUUGGCCUCUCAGACGUCUCAAGGCCUGAGACAACUGUGGUUUUAUUAAACAGUUUCUCUGCUGGACCCAAUCCAAAAAAACAUUUAUCCGGUCAAUUGUUGCCUUUAUCAACAAACUGCGUGUGAUCGAUCAAAACCACCAAUCCAUCACGUAGCUCACCAGCUACCAGUGCAGCACGGACCUUUCCAGCCAGGUGAAAUAAUGCUACAAUGAAGCGUGGCAGUAAAUCUCCACACAGACAGGUGGACAGAGACGGUCGGGACACCUCCAGCUAGUACAGCACGGUGCGGGGAAACUAGGUAACGUGCGAGUGCGGAGGGGAACCGGGCCGUGGGUCUUCAUACCUGUCGAGGAUAAUAACAGGUAUUCUAGCAGCAGGAUGAGUCGAUGAUUGUACACAGAAGGCAUUUUCUUUUUCAGACGGAGGGAGGGAGGGAAGCUUUGGCUCUGGAAGCGUAAACUAGUCGUGACAAGUGGCCGUAAAUUACUCUGAAACGUCCAUUAAAACUCAACUGACACAAAUAGUCACUGAUGCCAUCCAUCAACAUACCUGAGUGACAGUGACGGCGCGGUCGGCUGCCAAACAUUAGUUUUUACAUUUUUUGAGCCACAACGGGAAGGAAGCAUAAGCCGGGGAUUCUGUCAGAUGUAAAUAC